CGGUUGGACUUUAAACUCAGAUAUGCAAAGUUUAGCCAAGUGAUUCCAAGCUAUGUGGGCAGUUUGGAAGUGUUUAAUUUGAUCGAAAAUGUUUGGUGCACAUGAUAGUUGAAUGAUAUGCAGAGCCUCUGCGUCUUUCUGUGCAUCAAUGGGUGUGGAUGCAGAACCACUCUCCACAACAUCCCACAGAUUUUUCCCUCUCAGAUAAUUUUUCAUUAGAAUUUUCCAUUCUUGAUAAUUGUAUCUUGUGAGCUCUUCACGAACUAUUCCGCGGGAUGCAACACCAAUG
Molecule: long non-coding RNA, 289 nt
Filed under: Vigna radiata
Lineage: Eukaryota; Viridiplantae; Streptophyta; Magnoliopsida; Fabales; Fabaceae
Description: long non-coding RNA (VRAD_LNC010981)
Source: RNAcentral